AUUGAACGCUGUCGGCAGGCCUAACACAUGCAAGUCGAACGAGUGGCGGACGGGUGAGUAAUGUCUGGGAAACUGCCCGAUGGAGGGGGAUAACUACUGGAAACGGUAGCUAAUACCGCCUACCAUCGGAUGUGCCCAGAUGGGAUUAGCUAGUAGGUGGGGUAACGGCUCACCUAGGCGACGAUCCCUAGCUGGUCUGAGAGGAUGACCAGACACACUGGAAAUGAGACACGGUCCAGACUCAUACGGGAGGCAGCAGUGGGGAAUAUUGCACAAGGGGCGCAAGCCUGAUGCAGCCAUGCCGCGUGUAUGAAGAAGGCAUUCGGGUUGUAAAGUACUUUCAGCGAGGAGGCGUUACUCGCAGAAGAAGCACAGGCUAACUCCGUGCCAGCAGCCGCGGUAAUUC
RNAcentral lists this ribosomal RNA (406 nucleotides) under uncultured bacterium. RNAcentral's name for it is "partial 16S ribosomal RNA". It matches the Rfam family "Bacterial small subunit ribosomal RNA", at positions 30 to 526 of the family's 1533-position model. The record is from RNAcentral.